Molecule: ribosomal RNA, 685 nt
Filed under: uncultured bacterium
Lineage: Bacteria
Description: bacterial SSU rRNA
Rfam family: Bacterial small subunit ribosomal RNA
Source: RNAcentral
UGCAGUCGAGGGGCAGCAUCAUCAAAGCUUGCUUUGAUGGAUGGCGACCGGCGCACGGGUGAGUAACACGUAUCCAACCUGCCGACAACACUGGGAUAGCCUUUCGAAAGAAAGAUUAAUACCGGAUGGCAUAAUUAUUCCGCAUGGGAUAAUUAUUAAAGAAUUUCGGUUGUCGAUGGGGAUGCGUUCCAUUAGGCAGUUGGCGGGGUAACGGCCCACCAAACCUACGAUGGAUAGGGGUUCUGAGAGGAAGGUCCCCCACAUUGGAACUGAGACACGGUCCAAACUCCUACGGGAGGCAGCAGUGAGGAAUAUUGGUCAAUGGACGAGAGUCUGAACCAGCCAAGUAGCGUGAAGGAUGACUGCCCUAUGGGUUGUAAACUUCUUUUAUACGGGAAUAAAGUGAGCCACGUGUGGCUUUUUGUAUGUACCGUAUGAAUAAGGAUCGGCUAACUCCGUGCCAGCAGCCGCGGUAAUACGGAGGAUCCGAGCGUUAUCCGGAUUUAUUGGGUUUAAAGGGAGCGUAGGCGGGUUGUUAAGUCAGUUGUGAAAGUUUGCGGCUCAACCGUAAAAUUGCAGUUGAUACUGGCGACCUUGAGUGCAACAGAGGUAGGCGGAAUUCGUGGUGCAGCGGUGAAAUGCUUAGAUAUCACGAAGAACUCCGAUUGCGAAGGCAGCUUACUGG